Molecule: ribosomal RNA, 253 nt
Filed under: uncultured bacterium
Lineage: Bacteria
Description: partial 16S ribosomal RNA
Rfam family: Bacterial small subunit ribosomal RNA
Source: RNAcentral
UACGAAGGUCCCAAGCGUUGUUCGGAAUCACUGGGCGUAAAGGGAGCGUAGGCGGCGUGGUAAGUCAGAUGUGAAAUCCCGGGGCUCAACCCCGGAACUGCAUCCGAUACUGCCAUGCUAGAGGAUUGGAGAGGUAGCUGGAAUUCUUGGUGUAGCAGUGAAAUGCGUAGAGAUCAAGAGGAACACUCGUGGCGAAAGCGAGCUACUGGACGAUUCCUGACGCUGAGGCUCGAAGGCUAGGGUAGCGAAAGGG